UACGGAGGGUGCAAGCGUUAAUCGGAAUUACUGGGCGUAAAGCGCACGCAGGCGGUCUGUUAAGUCAGAUGUGAAAUCCCCGGGCUUAACCUGGGAACUGCAUUUGAAACUGGCAGGCUUGAGUCUCGGAGAGGGGGGUAGAAUUCCAGGUGUAGCGGUGAAAUGCGUAGAGAUCGGGAGGAAUACCGGUGGCGAAGGCGGCGCCCUGGACGAAGACUGACGCUCAGGUUCGAAAGCGUGGGGAGCAAACAGG
RNAcentral lists this ribosomal RNA (253 nucleotides) under uncultured bacterium. RNAcentral describes it as "partial 16S ribosomal RNA". It matches the Rfam family "Bacterial small subunit ribosomal RNA", at positions 524 to 776 of the family's 1533-position model. The record is from RNAcentral.